Paramuricea clavata is the source of this 3072-nucleotide non-coding RNA. NCBI's taxonomy places the organism in Eukaryota, Metazoa, Cnidaria, Anthozoa, Malacalcyonacea, Plexauridae. The record is from the annotation of a GenBank genome assembly.
GGAAAAAAUGGCUGAUUCCAAUAUUUGCGCCUCAGCUGUUUUCUAUGGCCAAGAUUUGCGCCUAAGCUGUUUUCUAUGGCGUCAUAUCACCACCAAUGUUCGUAUAGUAAAAUAGGACAUUCAGCACAUAACGAUUGAAUUUGGCCAGGGGAUUGUCUUGUGUUAGCUUAAUUAAUAUUGGUGGAGAUUUGACGCUAUCGUUCAACUCCGCCAAUAUUCAACAUGUGGUAAGUUUUUUCAACAUAUUUUGAACGUUGAAGUUGCGAUGGGUGCUAAAUUCGCGGCAUGUUCAAUGUCCCGUUUAACUUCAACGUCAGAAACACAUGGGUGUUCAAUGUGAGAUUUAACUUUGAUGUCGAAAGCACGUAUAGGCAUAAUAGGUGUUGAAUGUCCUGUUUAACUUCAAUGUCGAAAAUAUGUUGAAUGUUCUGCAUGUUCAUUGUCAGAUUUAGCUUCAAUGUCGAAAGCACGUAGGUGCUGAAUGUCCUAUUUUACUUCAAUGUCGAAAGCAUGACAUACAUGAAUAUUGGCGGUGAUAUGACGCCAUAGUUUACCUGUGAAAAUGUGCAUGGAAGCUGUAUAUCAAUUGCGCCGUACUGAAUCGUUCCAGUUGCCGGUCGUCGUGAUAAAAGCCGUAAGAUUCGAAUUAUAAAGUCAAUUCUCAGCUCUAAUAACAAACACAUGAAACUGUGAAGGCGAGUAAAUUAAUUUCAACAACGAACUGAAAUUACUCAACUUAUUUUGUUAUAUUUAACUUAAAAAUAGUUAUCCACAAAUGCACUUUAGUUGAAUUAACAUUUCAAAACAUUUUACCAACUUUUUCAGAUCAAAUUUUACAUUAAAUCAAAGCUAACAAAAUGCAAAAUAUCCCACAAUGGUCGUGAGAUAAUUCUGAACGGAACGAAAAUCACCCUGUUAUAAAGAUUCGUGCUUAGUGCAAGUUAUUUUCAACAGUACAACUCGAUAAUACAAUGCAACGUUCCCACAAAUUUAUUAUGAAUAUGAAAGAGUUUGACUAAUGGUCGAGGGUCGAUGGUCGAGGGUAAUAGGUCGAGGGCGAGGGUAGAAUGUCGAGGGUCGAAAAAAAUGUCGAGGGUCAAUUUUUUGACUGUAUAAUUUUUCGCAAAUUUUUAGUAACAGAAUCAAUUACUUACCAUUGCACAUACAUAUCACAAUUAAUUAAUUUGCUUUAGCCCAACGUCAAUGUUUUAUCCCUAUUAUGGAAUUUGCCAUGGCGCAGAGUAAGUAUGGUUCGCUAUUAAACGCAAAGUUUAGUUUGAACAAACAGAUAUGUUUUAUACGCCGAUGUAUACUAAGGCCAAUGAAAAUUGACAUCAUGUUUCUCGUCCCGCCCGCAUGGGUUUUAUCUGCCGCACGAAAAUUUUUCAUUAUUUAUUAUUUUUGAAAAAUAGGCUUAAUAAAACACCAAAUUGAUCUCCAGGUCAAAGUCUUAUUGCUGCAUUCCGCAAGCGCAACUCAAAUUGUAUCUUUCUAAAGACAUUACUCGCCAGAAUGCCUCUACUUUUCAUGUCAGCCCUGGUAUGCGUAGAAAUAUACUGUACAGUAGGACGUAUUAAAUUAAAAUGAAUUAUACACCGAUUUACUUCAGAUUUUUAUGGGUCAAGGAAAUUAUUGACAAGCAGAAUUCAAACACAAAAAAUAAUGAAAAAUGAAAAAAUCCCGCUCCAAAUUUUUGAAAAUUGUGGACGAGAAACAUGAUUUCAAUUUCCAUUGCCUAACGAAUAAACCCUAUUUUGAUCAUUAUGAAGUUAAUAACUGAUCAAAUUUCGAUCGCUACAGUCAAAAGGCGCCGCUUCACAUGCCAUUUGAUAAACAUAACAUAACCCUUUGCCACCUUUGUGCACUCAUGAUUUCAGCAAUCAUUACGACCACAAAAGCGAUAUAUAGUACUGUAUAGCUAUGUUUCCCGCAUGAUCUAGAAACCCACGACUAAACACUAAUGUCGUAUAAAAUAAUUUGUAAAGCCGUGAUUUUCUAACUAUCAGUAUUUUCUGCAUCGUGGCAAACGUUGACAGACGGCCAAUUGUCUUAUGUGCAUGCCUACGGCAGCAGGCAAACAUUUUUCGCACAGAUUAUUUUCCGCUCAUGUUGUAAUUUCUUGCGCCUAUGGCUCCUAUCGUCUGCGCGAAUUUGAUUACUGCGCGAAUUUGAUUAUUGCGCGAAUUUGAAUACAAAAUAUUUCAACAUUAAUUUUUAUUAAUAGUGAUAUUUUCCUGGGUUACUGGUUAUGCCUCAUCGGCGCAACAAAUUCGCAGCAAAAUGAAAAAUAACACUGACACGUCGAAGUGUCACCCCGGAUGUCGGGAUUUGCUUUCAGUUCUGGAUCAAAACUUGCGAGAAAGAGUGUCCCUAUAUGUCGUGUGUCGUGGGUUAAAAGUCAGGGGGCAGAAAAAUAGAAAUGUCGAUAAGUCAGGCAACUGUUGAACGUAAGUUGGGAAAAAAGGGAGGAAAGUAAACUGAAAAACAAGAAGUAUAUGUAAGAUAAUAGUAAAAAAUGCAAGAAAAUAGGGCAAUGUGGCGAAACGUUUGUAGCUUUUCGAAAGUUUCCGAAGUUUAGCAGGGAAUUUGAUUGGUCAGGCGCAAAAUGCAAAAGUCGGCCAAAUUUCGUUCUGCCCCCUAAUUUUUUCGCUCCCAUAUGCCUAUGAGUAUGUGUUUAUAGCAGACUUUGAGCAACGUAUAAAAUGAUGCGCCUGCACAGGAAUGUUUACCGAUCAACUAGUCAAGGAUUCUAAUUUUUUUGGUAAGCACACAGGUUUGAAUGAAUAGCCGAAAAUAUGAAUAGAACGUAACAGAUAUUUACAGCGGCACCUUUAAAUAAAAGAGAAUAAAGUCGGUAAUAGACCAGUAAUUUUAUUUUCCAUUGCUUUUCAGGUGCAGCUUGUUUCUUUCUGAAACAUUUUAGGGCCUAUAGCUAUGGGUCUACCUCAAAACGUUGUCUUCACGACACAGGUCAAAUACAGUCAAGUGGCAGUUGGGGAAACUUGUCUUUUCUGGAAUUUUCCGGCAACUGUCUGGAUCCAGCAGCUCAGUUUCGAUUUCGUGAUAAUGGUG